Molecule: non-coding RNA, 590 nt
Organism: Paramuricea clavata
Lineage: Eukaryota; Metazoa; Cnidaria; Anthozoa; Malacalcyonacea; Plexauridae
Source: the annotation of a GenBank genome assembly
CCCAAUUGGAUCAUGUACACUGUACUGUACUUUACUGUACUGUAAAUUCAAGACGCUGAUGUUUAAUUAAUAAAGAUCGCUGGGCUCUUUUGUUACAUAUGUUUUUGACAGGUUGCCAAGAGGCGUGCACACUAAAACUGAACACAAUAGGUACAUGCAUUCAUUACGUCUCAAGGAGCUGAAGGAAGAAGACAGAACUUGCUUGGAGACGAAAUUUACAAAAUUAUGUCCGCGAAAAUUCUGUUGAAAAUCCUGAUGAUUUCAGUCUGGCUGAGUUUGGCUUUUCGUUUAUCGCAAAGUGACAAGGUAGUUGAUAAGAAAUGAUGAUAGAUGAUACAUUUGUUAUUAACGUUUCUUAUGUUAUUCAAAAUUUAACGCCAACAGAAUCACAUACUGUAUAUUAUAUUGUAUAUAGUAAAUAUGUAUUAUUUCUUAGAUAGUUUAUUUACAAUAACAACUAUUGGCUGAAUUAUAAAAGUUUUUGGCACAUGUAUACAAAUAUACGUACAUCAGUUCUAAUUACUGAUACGCUUUUAUAGAGUUACUAAAAAUAAAACUGUAUAGGUAUGGUAAAUAAUAAAUUUACGCCC